CCUACGGGGGGCUGCAGUGGGGAAUAUUGGACAAUGGGCGAAAGCCUGAUCCAGCCAUGCCGCGUGUGUGAAGAAGGCCUUCGGGUUGUAAAGCACUUUCAGUGGGGAAGAAAGCCUUGGGGCUAAUACCCUCGAGGAAGGACAUCACCCACAGAAGAAGCACCGGCUAACUCCGUGCCAGCAGCCGCGGUAAUACGGAGGGUGCGAGCGUUAAUCGGAAUUACUGGGCGUAAAGCGCGCGUAGGCGGUUUGAUAAGCCGGUUGUGAAAGCCCCGGGCUCAACCUGGGAACGGCAUCCGGAACUGUCAGGCUAGAGUGCAGGAGAGGAAGGUAGAAUUCCCGGUGUAGCGGUGAAAUGCGUAGAGAUCGGGAGGAAUACCAGUGGCGAAGGCGGCCUUCUGGACUGACACUGACGCUGAGGUGCGAAAGCGUGGGUAGCAAACAGGAUUAGAUACCCGGGUAGUC
This 465-nucleotide ribosomal RNA is filed under the name Vreelandella stevensii. RNAcentral describes it as "partial 16S ribosomal RNA". It matches the Rfam family "Bacterial small subunit ribosomal RNA", at positions 338 to 795 of the family's 1533-position model. The record is from RNAcentral. Lineage: Bacteria; Pseudomonadati; Pseudomonadota; Gammaproteobacteria; Oceanospirillales; Halomonadaceae.